RNAcentral lists this microRNA precursor (96 nucleotides) under Daucus carota subsp. sativus. RNAcentral's name for it is "sRNA DCAR_mi00039". The record is from RNAcentral. Lineage: Eukaryota; Viridiplantae; Streptophyta; Magnoliopsida; Apiales; Apiaceae.
GUUGCUUACUCUCCCUCAAGGGCUUCUGGAUUGGGCCAUUUAAUAGAAUUAUUCUAUUAAAAAGGGCUUGCUAGGAGCACUUUGAGGGGGAGUCAA